Molecule: ribosomal RNA, 498 nt
Filed under: uncultured bacterium
Lineage: Bacteria
Description: partial 16S ribosomal RNA
Rfam family: Bacterial small subunit ribosomal RNA
Source: RNAcentral
GAUGAACGCUAGCUACAGGCUUAACACAUGCAAGUCGAGGGGUAGCAGGGUAGCAAUACCGCUGACGACCGGCGCACGGGUGAGUAACACGUAUCCAACCUUCCCAUAACUCAGGAAUAGCCUUUCGAAAGAAAGAUUAAUACCUGAUAGUACUUUUUUAAGGCAUCUUGAAAAAGUUAAAGAUUUAUCGGUUAUGGAUGGGGAUGCGUUCCAUUAGAUAGUUGGUGAGGUAACGGCUCACCAAGUCUUCGAUGGAUAGGGGUUCUGAGAGGAAGGUCCCCCACAUUGGUACUGAGACACGGACCAAACACCUACGGGAGGCAGCAGUGAGGAAUAUUGGUCAAUGGGCGAGAGCCUGAACCAGCCAAGUAGCGUGAAGGAUGAAGGUCCUAUGGAUUGUAAACUUCUUUUAUAGUAGAAUAAAGUGAGCCACGUGUGGUUUUUUGUAUGUAUACUAUGAAUAAGGAUCGGCUAACUCCGUGCCAGCCGCCGCGGUAA